GACGAACGCUGGCGGCGUGCUUAACACAUGCAAGUCGAACGGAGAGGCCCCUUUGGGGGUACUCGAGUGGCGAACGGGUGAGUAACACGUGAGUAACCUGCCCUUGACUUCGGGAUAACUUCAGGAAACUGGGGCUAAUACCGGAUAGGAAUCCUUGCUGCAUGGUGGGGGUUGGAAAGCUUCGGCGGUUUUGGAUGGACUCGCGGCUUAUCAGCUUGUUGGUGGGGUAGUGGCUUACCAAGGCUUUGACGGGUAGCCGGCCUGAGAGGGCGACCGGCCACAUUGGGACUGAGAUACGGCCCAGACUCCUACGGGAGGCAGCAGUGGGGAAUAUUGCACAAUGGGCGGAAGCCUGAUGCAGCAACGCCGCGUGCGGGAUGACGGCCUUCGGGUUGUAAACCGCUUUCAGCAGGGGCGAAGCUUGUGGUGACGGUACCUGCAGAAGAAGCACCGGCUAACUACGUG
RNAcentral lists this ribosomal RNA (465 nucleotides) under uncultured bacterium. RNAcentral's name for it is "partial 16S ribosomal RNA". It matches the Rfam family "Bacterial small subunit ribosomal RNA", at positions 28 to 507 of the family's 1533-position model. The record is from RNAcentral.